CCCGUCUCCUACCUCCCUACUGCCGCAUGCUGUCUCCGUCCUCUUCUUAUUUUGCCUAUCUAUCCAGCACUUGGGCCCAUUACUGCAGCCACCCCCUCUUAUCAUCCUCUUCUGUCCACUUCUUCACUAAUCGAGCCCGCUGCUCGCCUCCCUGCUGCUGUCACUCAUCUCUCCAUCGCUCGCUUCCCCACCCCUUUUUUUCUUUCGCCGCAGCAGCAGCCACCCCCUUUCCUCCUCCUCC
This 241-nucleotide long non-coding RNA is filed under the name Elaeis guineensis (African oil palm). RNAcentral's name for it is "long non-coding RNA (EGUI_LNC026348)". Lineage: Eukaryota; Viridiplantae; Streptophyta; Magnoliopsida; Arecales; Arecaceae. The record is from RNAcentral.